RNAcentral lists this ribosomal RNA (444 nucleotides) under uncultured bacterium. Its description in RNAcentral is "bacterial SSU rRNA". It matches the Rfam family "Bacterial small subunit ribosomal RNA", at positions 29 to 517 of the family's 1533-position model. The record is from RNAcentral.
AGCGAACGCUGGCGGCAGGCCUAACACAUGCAAGUCGAGCGCCCGUAGCAAUACGGGAGCGGCAGACGGGAGAGUAACACGUGGGAACGUACCCUUCAGUUCGGAACAACCAAGGGAAACUUUGGCUAAUACCGAAUACGUCCGUAAGGAGAAAGAUUUAUCGCUGAAGGAUCGGCCCGCGUCUGAUUAGCUAGUUGGUGAGGUAAUGGCUCACCAAGGCGACGAUCAGUAGCNGGUCUGAGAGGAUGAUCAGCCUCAUUGGGACUGAGACACGGCCCAAACUCCUACGGGAGGCAGCAGUGGGAAUAUUGGACAAUGGGCGCAAGCCUGAUCCAGCCAUGCCGCGUGGAUGAUGAAGGCCUUAGGGUUGUAAAGUCCUUUCGACGGGGAAGAUAAUGACGGUACCCGUAGAAGAAGCCCCGGCUAACUUCGUGCCAGCAGCCG